CAGCCCUAAACGAUGCGCGUUAGGUGUAUCGGUGACCACGAGUCACCGAGGUGCCGAAGGGAAACCGUGAAACGUGCCGCCUGGGAAGUACGGUCGCAAGGCUGAGACUUAAAGGAAUUGGCGGGGGGAGCACCACAACGGGUGGAGCCUGCGGUUUAAUUGGACUCAACGCCGGGAAGCUCACCGGAUAAGACAGCGGAAUGACUGCCGGGCUGAAGACCCUGCAUGACCAGCUGAGAGGAGGUGCAUGGCGUGUGACUGU
This 262-nucleotide ribosomal RNA is filed under the name uncultured archaeon. RNAcentral describes it as "partial 16S ribosomal RNA". It matches the Rfam family "Archaeal small subunit ribosomal RNA", at positions 748 to 1008 of the family's 1478-position model. The record is from RNAcentral.